RNAcentral lists this ribosomal RNA (682 nucleotides) under Bacillus subtilis. RNAcentral's name for it is "bacterial SSU rRNA". It matches the Rfam family "Bacterial small subunit ribosomal RNA", at positions 82 to 749 of the family's 1533-position model. Lineage: Bacteria; Bacillati; Bacillota; Bacilli; Caryophanales; Bacillaceae. The record is from RNAcentral.
CUCCCUGAUGUUAGCGGCGGACGGGUGAGUAACACGUGGGUAACCUGCCUGUAAGACUGGGAUAACUCCGGGAAACCGGGGCUAAUACCGGAUGGUUGUUUGAACCGCAUGGUUCAAACAUAAAAGGUGGCUUCGGCUACCACUUACAGAUGGACCCGCGGCGCAUUAGCUAGUUGGUGAGGUAACGGCUCACCAAGGCGACGAUGCGUAGCCGACCUGAGAGGGUGAUCGGCCACACUGGGACUGAGACACGGCCCAGACUCCUACGGGAGGCAGCAGUAGGGAAUCUUCCGCAAUGGACGAAAGUCUGACGGAGCAACGCCGCGUGAGUGAUGAAGGUUUUCGGAUCGUAAAGCUCUGUUGUUAGGGAAGAACAAGUACCGUUCGAAUAGGGCGGUACCUUGACGGUACCUAACCAGAAAGCCACGGCUAACUACGUGCCAGCAGCCGCGGUAAUACGUAGGUGGCAAGCGUUGUCCGGAAUUAUUGGGCGUAAAGGGCUCGCAGGCGGUUUCUUAAGUCUGAUGUGAAAGCCCCCGGCUCAACCGGGGAGGGUCAUUGGAAACUGGGGAACUUGAGUGCAGAAGAGGAGAGUGGAAUUCCACGUGUAGCGGUGAAAUGCGUAGAGAUGUGGAGGAACACCAGUGGCGAAGGCGACUCUCUGGUCUGUAACUGACGCUGA